This 253-nucleotide ribosomal RNA is filed under the name uncultured bacterium. RNAcentral describes it as "partial 16S ribosomal RNA". It matches the Rfam family "Bacterial small subunit ribosomal RNA", at positions 524 to 776 of the family's 1533-position model. The record is from RNAcentral.
UACGGAGGAUGCGAGCGUUAUCCGGAAUCAUUGGGUUUAAAGGGUCCGUAGGCGGGCUAAUAAGUCAGAGGUGAAAGCGCUUAGCUCAACUAAGCAACUGCCUUUGAAACUGUUAGUCUUGAAUGAUUGUGAAGUAGUUGGAAUGUGUAGUGUAGCGGUGAAAUGCUUAGAUAUUACACAGAACACCGAUAGCGAAGGCAUAUUACUAACAAUUUAUUGACGCUGAUGGACGAAAGCGUGGGGAGCGAACAGG